GAUUAACGCUGGCGGCGUGCCUAACACAUGCAAGUCGAGCGGCAGCGAGUUUUACACUGAAUUCUGGAAGCUUCUAGUUGAAAGAGAAGAUUUAUUCAAGAAUUUUGUGUAAAAUGUCGGCGAGCGGCGGACGGCUGAGUAACGCGUGGGAACGUACCCCAAAGUGAGGGAUAACGCAUCGAAAGGUGUGCUAAUACCGCAUAUGGUCUUCGGAUUAAAGCCUUCGGGCGCUUUGGGAACGGCCUGCGUAAGAUUAGAUAGUUGGUGGGGUAAUGGCCUACCAAGUCGACGAUCUUUAACUGGUUUGAGAGGAUGAUCAGUCAGACUGGAACUGAGACACGGUCCAGACUCCUACGGGAAGCAGCAGUGAGGAAUCUUCCACAAUGGGCGAAAGCCUGAUGGAGCAACGCCGCGUGCAGGAUGAAGGCCUUCGGGUUGUAAACUGCUUUUAUAAGUGAGGAUUAUGACAGUAACUUAUGAAUAAGGAUCGGCUAACUACGUG
This 502-nucleotide ribosomal RNA is filed under the name uncultured bacterium. Its description in RNAcentral is "partial 16S ribosomal RNA". It matches the Rfam family "Bacterial small subunit ribosomal RNA", at positions 28 to 507 of the family's 1533-position model. The record is from RNAcentral.